Molecule: long non-coding RNA, 225 nt
Organism: Manacus vitellinus (golden-collared manakin)
Lineage: Eukaryota; Metazoa; Chordata; Aves; Passeriformes; Pipridae
Exons: 2
Source: RefSeq, a predicted model, not a curated record
CUUCAGGCUCGCAGAGAUUUGUGUUAAGAUCGCGCUGACCGAGAUGGAAAUCAGGUUUUCUACCCGAGCUUCUGCAGGGUACAGUACUGUGAUAACUGAAGGAUGGCAGCCAUCUGAGCUUCACGGGAUCCCGGGAACGACAGCCUGCUCACCUGGAGUGUGCUCCUUUUACCUGUGUCCUUGGGCAUAAAAAUACGAUUUAUCUGAAUAAAAUAUUACACAGUU